CGUCCUCUGCCGUGUUCGACAGCGUGCCUAACAUUACGCCUUGUCCCAUAAACACGACCCGGGAAUCCGCCCCGACCGCGGUGUGCAUGUCCGCCCUGCUGCGGAAAGCCUGAAGCGGCGGAUCGGGUACCCACUUGAUCCCUGGGAUCAAGGUCGUUUCGUACGCAUCGGCAUGGUGGAGGAACU
Non-coding RNA from Arenimonas metalli CF5-1, 186 nucleotides. It matches the Rfam family "6S / SsrS RNA". From Rfam's summary of the family: E. coli 6S RNA was the first non coding RNA to be sequenced, but its function was unknown until recently. Lineage: Bacteria; Pseudomonadati; Pseudomonadota; Gammaproteobacteria; Lysobacterales; Lysobacteraceae. The record is from Rfam.